CUGAUAUGAACUGCAUAGGGUCCACGGGCCCCUGCAAUCACUCUGGACUAUUUGCUUUUCCAGCCUGGAGCCCUUGAAGCCAGGAGGGGAUUAGGGUGUUGGGGGUGCUUUGGCUCAGAUGCAGACUAUUGCAAACUGCAGAAACGCACAGUGACGACAUGACCAAGAAGCUUCCUACCCCUGGCCUGGGAGCAAGUGACCGUGGGCACUAAUAACAACAGGGCCUUUUAAGAUUUUGGUCCAUGGUGGAAUCUUGCUUGUUUCUCACCACCAGACCCAUUGCAUCUCCACUUCUAAGGCAGCGGCGGCGGCGGCAGCGGUGGGGAAAAGCGGAUUCCUCCCCGAGCCACACCGAGGGGAGCUCGUGGUCGAGACUUGCCGCCCUAAGCACUCUCCCAAGUCCGGCCCGCUCGGCGAGGACUUCCGUCUUCUGAGCGAACCUUGUCAAGCAAGCUGGGAUCUAUGAGUGGAAAGGUGACCAAGCCCAAAGAGGAGAAAGAUGCUUCUAAGGCCCUCGGGGAAGGCAGGAGUUUGCACCCUUCGACACGCCGCGUGCAAAAGUGAGCAAUCCUGGUGCCCUGGCGCCGCCCGCGCUGCGCUUUGGCAGCAAAGCCUCGCCAAACCCCAGGAGAACAAAGGCUGUUGUCCCCUUGCUACUAGUGCCCAGGGUGAGUGGGCCUCCGCGGGAGGGGGCAGUCCUCUUCCUCUGCUUGCUGGGGUUCAGUCACCUCGCCCGGGGCACCCGACCACUGGUCCCCCUGGAGUGCGCGCCUCUGCCCGGGGCCUCCCAUCGGCGGGUUGGGGAGGCACAGCAAAGCGGUGCUCAGGCUGGGGAGAACUAAGGCAAAGGAAGAGGACGCCCCCCCCACCCCCUGCCGGUUCUAGCCGUUGCCUUUCUGAGGACCAGGAUUAGCUCCAGAAUGUGAACUGGAGACAGCGGCCUUGGAGACCCGGGUGCGGAGAGAGGCACAGAGAGGGAAUGUGAACAGCAGUGGGGAACGGCAGGUGCCUUAGGUGCAAGUGUCCGGAAUGGCCACGAAACGGACGCUGGAGUGGGCUGGAUUAGCCCUGAGGGCCCCAAGCACACUGGACCGCAGCGACCCACGCUGAGUCCCCACUGCAGAAGUGAGGUUGCAGCGCGGGGAGUCCCAGGUUUUGUUCAUGGGGGCCCCCAAUUUCUCCCUGAUCCCUCAGGCCCCUUCACUCCCACUCCUUUCUCUAUUCCUUUUCUCCUCUCCUCCUUCUCGCCUCUCCCCAUCUCUCAGAGCUUUCUUUCCCGGGAGAUUCUAGGGCAGCACCAGCCCUCCCCCGCAGAAAGUUGUCAAAGUCUUCACCUCAAGGCCUUUCUCCUUGUUUCCAAAUGGAGCCAUUUCUUCCCCAACUAGGCGAAAGGGUGACGAAAGGUUCCGCGAGUUUGUGGAGGGGUCACAUCCGUUGUCACACGGGUCAGUGUUGCCCCCGGUCUGGCUCAAGGCUAGCAUUCAAUCUCAAGUGAAAGAGUAACUUUGGAAUGUAGAACUACAGCUGCAGGUUUCCAGAGCUCUCCGAAUUGUUGAGUCUCAAACAGGCAUUUAUAUGAUAAAGGAAAAUGACUUCGGGGUCAUUAAAUCGUUUUGUUUUCCACUGAGGGCCCAGAGAAGUAAAUGUAAUUACAGAAUGUGGCACCAGAUUGAUCUAGGCACCUCAUUCCCCUGUUGAAUCUGGGAGUAUUUCACGUUUGUUUCUGGAACUUUGGUUCCCGAUUUCCAUCAGGUGGUUACUUCAGGUUUAUUUCAGGCUGCCUUUGGGAGACCCUGAAACCAAAUUCAUUCAAAGAAAACGAGUUUCUGUUUUAGGAAUAUAAUUUGCAGUUGUCCAGGAUGGAUUAAUGCAUCUGGAAACAGGACAGGUUUCUGUAAUUCAAUAAUACAAAUUUGUACUAGACAUGUGUCAUAACAUUUUCUUGUGUUGACUCACCACAUUUGAAACCACAUACCUCUGUAGGAAUUGUGUAAUUAGCACUUGAAAUUAUGGUUGUAAUUAGAAUAAAUUAAUUUUACAAGGCAACUUUUAAGAAAGGAGUUUACUUCCCGGAGAAGAUGGGAAGCUUUAGGCUGCUAAGAGCAAGAUUGCCAUUUCAGCCUUUCUGUUCGUUGUUGAAUUUAGAGCAUUUUCAGAACAGUAAAUGUGCAGUAGCCAUUAGUAUUUUCCUCUUUCACGUAUGUGAAAAGUCUUAUGUGACUGAAUUUUAAAGACUAAUUUUAUAUUAGAGAUGAAAAGUUCAAGGUCUAUUUUAUCUUCUAGUCAAUAGUUUAUAUAUGUUGACCAUAUUUCUGAAGAGUUUUCCUUACUUACACAUUUCCUAUAUAUAGGUCAUCUUUAAUUUUUUACGCUGAAAAACUAAUUGGCAUAUUCUUUGUAAUAUAGCAAGAUAUAGG
Molecule: long non-coding RNA, 2417 nt
Organism: Rhinopithecus bieti (black snub-nosed monkey)
Lineage: Eukaryota; Metazoa; Chordata; Mammalia; Primates; Cercopithecidae
Source: Ensembl